This 336-nucleotide unclassified non-coding RNA is filed under the name soil metagenome. RNAcentral describes it as "partial contains 5.8S ribosomal RNA, internal transcribed spacer 2, and large subunit ribosomal RNA". The stretch from base 1 to 120 matches the Rfam family "5.8S ribosomal RNA", at positions 35 to 154 of the family's 154-position model. The record is from RNAcentral.
GAUGAAGAACGCAGCGAAAUGCGAUAAGUAAUGUGAAUCGCAGAAUUCAGUGAAUCAUCGAAUCUUUGAACGCACAUUGCGCCCGCCAGUAUUCUGGCGGGCAUGCCUGUUCGAGCGUCAUUUCAACCAUCAAGCCCCAGGCUUGUGUUGGGGACCUGCGGCUGCCGCAGGCCCUGAAAACCAGUGGCGGGCUCGCUGUCACACCGGGCGUAGUAGAUUUUAUCUCGCUCAGGGCGUGCUGCGGGUUCCGGCCGUUAAAAAGCCUUUUUUACCCAAGGUUGACCUCGGAUCAGGUAGGAAGACCCGCUGAACUUAAGCAUAUCAAUAAGCGGAGGA